This 213-nucleotide unclassified non-coding RNA is filed under the name plant metagenome. RNAcentral's name for it is "partial contains small subunit ribosomal RNA, internal transcribed spacer 1, and 5.8S ribosomal RNA". The record is from RNAcentral.
UUUCCGUAGGUGAACCUGCGGAAGGAUCACUCAAAGUUAGCAAAUGAUGUGAAUUUUCUGAAUACAUAUCUGCAUCUGCUUCAGUGGGAGGGCUCAUGGUGGGGUCGAGAGCGCCAGCCGCAAACAUCAACUAUAUCUAAUCUCUUUGUUUGAAAAAUAUUAUGAAUAAAAAAAUUAAAAAUACAACUUUCAACAACGGAUCUCUUGGCUCUC